CGCAGCCGCGGUAAUUCCAGCUCCAAUAGCGUAUAUUAAAGUUGUUGCAGUUAAAAAGCUCGUAGUUGAAUUUCGGGAUCAAUUUAUCGGUCGUGCCAAUGGUAUGAACUGGUACAAUUGGUUUCUUCCUUCUGAUAAAGCGUGAUGCCAUUAACUUGGUGUCGCCGGGGAAUCAGAACUGUUACUUUGAAAAAAUUAGAGUGUUUAAAGCAGGCUUAGGCUUGAAUACAUUAGCAUGGAAUAAUGAAAUAGGACGUUUGAUCCUAUUUUGUUGGUUUCUAGGAUCGACGUAAUGAUUAAUAGGGAUAGUUGGGGGCAUUAGUAUUCAAUUGUCAGAGGUGAAAUUCUUGGAUUUAUUGAAGACUAACUACUGCGAAAGCAUUUGCCAAGGACGUUUUCAUUAAUCAAGAACGAAAGUUAGGGAUCGAAGACGAUCAGAUACCGUCGUAGUCUUAACCAUAACUAUGCCGACUAGGGAUCGGAUGAUUGUUAAUUUUUUAAUGUACUCAUUCGGCGCCUU
RNAcentral lists this ribosomal RNA (520 nucleotides) under uncultured Glomus. Its description in RNAcentral is "SSU rRNA". It matches the Rfam family "Eukaryotic small subunit ribosomal RNA", at positions 569 to 1089 of the family's 1831-position model. Lineage: Eukaryota; Fungi; Glomeromycota; Glomeromycetes; Glomerales; Glomeraceae. The record is from RNAcentral.